UCAACUUGAAUUUGGGUUUAUAACUUAGGUUUGGGUGGCGGACGGGUGAGUAACGCGUAAAGAACUUGCCUCACAGCUAGGGACAACAUUUAGAAAUGAAUGCUAAUACCUGAUAUUAUGGUUAUAGGGCAUCCUAUAAUUAUGAAAGCUAAAUGCACUGUGAGAGAGCUUUGCGUCCCACUAGCUAGUUGGAGAGGUAACAGCUCACCAAGGCGAUGAUGGGUAGCCGGCCUGAGAGGGUGAACGGCCACAAGGGGACUGAGACACGGCCCUUACUCCUACGGGAGGCAGCAGUGGGGAAUAUUGGACAAUGGACCGAGAGUCUGAUCCAGCAAUUCUGUGUGCACGAUGAAGUUUUUCGGAAUGUAAAGUGCUUUCAGUUGGGAAGAAAAAAAUGACGGUACCAACAGAAGAAGUGACGGCUAAAUACGUGCCAGCAGCCGCGGUAAUACGUAUGUCACGAGCGUUAUCCGGAUUUAUUGGGCGUAAAGCGCGUCUAGGUGGUUAUGUAAGUCUGAUGUGAAAAUGCAGGGCUCAACUCUGUAUUGCGUUGGAAACUGUAUAACUAGAGUACUGGAGAGGUAAGCGGAACUACAAGUGUAGAGGUGAAAUUCGUAGAUAUUUGUAGGAAUGCCGAUGGGGAAGCCAGCUUACUGGACAGAUACUGACGCUGAAGCGCGAAAGCGUGGGUAGCAAACAGGAUU
Molecule: ribosomal RNA, 704 nt
Filed under: uncultured Fusobacterium sp.
Lineage: Bacteria; Fusobacteriati; Fusobacteriota; Fusobacteriia; Fusobacteriales; Fusobacteriaceae
Description: bacterial SSU rRNA
Rfam family: Bacterial small subunit ribosomal RNA
Source: RNAcentral